Small nuclear RNA from Rattus norvegicus (Norway rat), 167 nucleotides. Ensembl annotates it as U2 spliceosomal RNA. NCBI's taxonomy places the organism in Eukaryota, Metazoa, Chordata, Mammalia, Rodentia, Muridae. The record is from Ensembl.
AUCGCUUCUCGGCCUUUUGGCUAAGAUCAAGUGUAGAACACGUACAUAUUUAUUUAUGUUUACAUAUAUUCAUGUGUGUGAAUAUUGUAUAGUGUGUGUAAAUGUGUGCCUAUAACAAGUUUGUAAGUGGAUACAGGAAUACAUGUGUGUAAGUGCACACAUCGUAU